UACGGAGGGUGCAAGCGUUAUCCGGAUUCACUGGGUUUAAAGGGAGCGUAGGUGGGAAUGUAAGUCAGUGGUGAAAUCUCCGUGCUUAACACGGAAACUGCCAUUGAUACUAUGUUUCUUGAAUUUUCUGGAGGUUAGCGGAAUAUGUCAUGUAGCGGUGAAAUGCAUAGAUAUGACAUAGAACACCGAUUGCGAAGGCAGCUCACUAAGCAGACAUUGACGCUGAGGCACGAAAGCGUGGGGAUCAAACAGG
This 253-nucleotide ribosomal RNA is filed under the name uncultured bacterium. RNAcentral describes it as "partial 16S ribosomal RNA". It matches the Rfam family "Bacterial small subunit ribosomal RNA", at positions 524 to 776 of the family's 1533-position model. The record is from RNAcentral.